AUUUUUUGAGGUGAGAAAUGGCUCCUCACACGCUAAAUUUAGUAAAUAGAGAUGCAGGAUACCCGACCUGCCAAAAACU
This 79-nucleotide non-coding RNA is filed under the name unclassified sequences. RNAcentral's name for it is "skipping-rope RNA". It matches the Rfam family "skipping-rope RNA". Rfam says of the family: Firmicutes, Fusobacteria, AlphaProteobacteria, Spirochaetes. Downstream gene The record is from Rfam by way of RNAcentral.